Molecule: unclassified non-coding RNA, 345 nt
Filed under: soil metagenome
Description: partial contains 5.8S ribosomal RNA, internal transcribed spacer 2, and large subunit ribosomal RNA
Rfam family: 5.8S ribosomal RNA (bases 1-120)
Source: RNAcentral
GAUGAAGAACGCAGCGAAAUGCGAUACGUAAUGUGAAUUGCAGAAUUCAGUGAAUCAUCGAGUCUUUGAACGCACAUUGCGCCCCCUGGUAUUCCUGGGGGCAUGCCUGUCCGAGCGUCAUUGCUGCCCUCAAGCACGGCUUGUGUGUUGGGCCUCCGUCCUCCUCCCGGGGGACGGGCCCGAAAGGCAGCGGCGGCACCGCGUCCGGUCCUCGAGCGUAUGGGGCUUCGUCACCCGCUCUUGUAGGCCCGGCCGGCGCUUGCCGACACAUCAAUCUUUUUUCCAGGUUGACCUCGGAUCAGGUAGGGAUACCCGCUGAACUUAAGCAUAUCAAUAAGCGGAGGA